This 451-nucleotide long non-coding RNA is filed under the name Solanum tuberosum (potato). Its description in RNAcentral is "long non-coding RNA (STUB_LNC005413)". The record is from RNAcentral. Lineage: Eukaryota; Viridiplantae; Streptophyta; Magnoliopsida; Solanales; Solanaceae.
CAAGUAACGGGAAGAGCAUCCCAGCUAUAACCAAAAAUACAAAGUUAUAGGCAGACAAAACAAGAGACGCCACCAAGAUUUUGUCCUUUUAACAAAUUGAUAACAUGAAGAGAUGAUAUUAAGAGUGUUCGUCAGACUGUUCCUAACAACAACGAAGUAACAAUAUUAUAAACGGGAAGAGCAUCACAGCUAAUAAACCAAAAAUACAAAGUUAUAGGCAGCAAAACAAGAGACACUACUGAGAUUUUGACCUUUUAACAAAUUGAUUACAUGAAGAGAUGAUAUUAAGAGUGUUCGUCAGACUGUCCUAACAACAACGAAGUACAUAUUUAUAAACGGGAAGAGCAUCACAGCUAUAACCAAAAAUACAAAGUUAUAGGCAGCAAAACAAGAGACGCCACCAAGAUUUUGACCUUUUAACAAAUUGAUAACAUGAAGAGAUGAUAUUAAG